This 564-nucleotide ribosomal RNA is filed under the name uncultured bacterium. RNAcentral's name for it is "partial 16S ribosomal RNA". It matches the Rfam family "Bacterial small subunit ribosomal RNA", at positions 355 to 911 of the family's 1533-position model. The record is from RNAcentral.
UGGGGAAUUUUGGACAAUGGGGGAAACCCUGAUCCAGCCAUCCCGCGUGUGCGAUGAAGGCCUUCGGGUUGUAAAGCACUUUUGGCAGGAAAGAAACGUCGCGGGUUAAUACCCCGCGAAACUGACGGUACCUGCAGAAUAAGCACCGGCUAACUACGUGCCAGCAGCCGCGGUAAUACGUAGGGUGCAAGCGUUAAUCGGAAUUACUGGGCGUAAAGCGUGCGCAGGCGGUUCGGAAAGAAAGAUGUGAAAUCCCAGAGCUUAACUUUGGAACUGCAUUUUUAACUACCGGGCUAGAGUGUGUCAGAGGGAGGUGGAAUUCCGCGUGUAGCAGUGAAAUGCGUAGAUAUGCGGAGGAACACCGAUGGCGAAGGCAGCCUCCUGGGAUAACACUGACGCUCAUGCACGAAAGCGUGGGGAGCAAACAGGAUUAGAUACCCUGGUAGUCCACGCCCUAAACGAUGUCAACUAGCUGUUGGGGCCUUCGGGCCUUGGUAGCGCAGCUAACGCGUGAAGUUGACCGCCUGGGGGAGUACGGUCGCAAGAUUAAAACUCAAAGGAAUU